RNAcentral lists this ribosomal RNA (465 nucleotides) under Vreelandella stevensii. Its description in RNAcentral is "partial 16S ribosomal RNA". It matches the Rfam family "Bacterial small subunit ribosomal RNA", at positions 338 to 795 of the family's 1533-position model. The record is from RNAcentral. Lineage: Bacteria; Pseudomonadati; Pseudomonadota; Gammaproteobacteria; Oceanospirillales; Halomonadaceae.
CCUACGGGGGGCAGCAGUGGGGAAUAUUGGACAAUGGGGGCAACCCUGAUCCAGCCAUGCCGCGUGUGUGAAGAAGGCCCUCGGGUUGUAAAGCACUUUCAGUGAGGAAGAACGCCUGGUGGUUAAUACCCAUCAGGAAAGACAUCACUCACAGAAGAAGCACCGGCUAACUCCGUGCCAGCAGCCGCGGUAAUACGGAGGGUGCGAGCGUUAGUCGGAAUUACUGGGCGUAAAGCGCGCGUAGGUGGCUUGAUAAGCCGGUUGUGAAAGCCCCGGGCUCAACCUGGGAACGGCAUCCGGAACUGUCAAGCUAGAGUGCAGGAGAGGAAGGUAGAAUUCCCGGUGUAGCGGUGAAAUGCGUAGAGAUCGGGAGGAAUACCAGUGGCGAAGGCGGCCUUCUGGACUGACACUGACACUGAGGUGCGAAAGCGUGGGUAGCAAACAGGAUUAGAUACCCCAGUAGUC